GGCAGAUGGUUUCAAAAGCCAGGAGGAGGAGGAAUAAAAAUUGUACUUCAAUGUUGUUAUGACUUUAAAGCAGAUAGAAAGUGGAAGUACAACAGUUCUCUCCUGAACCAAAGCAAAUAUUUCCAGUCAGCAUCCUUUGAGUGGACUAUAGUACUAUAUUGGGGGCUCGUAAAAUUAUCUGUUAUGAAAGAAGAUGUGCUACUGUGAAAAAAAUACGAAGCAGUUAAGAUUGCCAGCAAAUAAAGUAAGGGAGGGGAACGUCCAUCCUUAAGUGUGGAAGUUAGGAUUAAAUCCAGUUUUUUGAAUGGGGUGAGUUUUAAUGUUCAGCAGCCUUUCCAGUUCAGCAUUUCUAAUUACAGUUCUUUCUCAUGUCAGAAAGCAAGGGGGAGAUUUUUGUCAGCCACUACCUGAAACAAUUAAGAGUGAUUACAACUUACCUUAUUUCAUUAUAUUAAUUGAUAAGCUUGAAAUUCAUGUAGCUCUUUUCUAACAAGUAACGUUCUAAUCACAAAGCUGAAUUUAUUGCUGAACCAUUUUGUGCUAAUGUUUUUCUUUAUCCUUAAUGUAUUAUGCAUUUAAAGUACAAGUGUAUUUUUGCCAUCUUUUUGUGGGGCUAAAAAGCCUAAUCUCAGAACCUAAGCUUUCUUGUUCUAAUAUUUUUUCAUAUUAUAUGCUAGCUUGAGGGCUAGGCCUCAAAGUGGCUUGCAAUAUAAAAGGGGGAAAAAACAAAUUAAAAACGCCAUUAAAACAAAAAUAAUGUAAAUAACCCUCAACUGCACUUGCUACAUUCUAAACUGUGUUCCAUCUCAGUUGAUAAAACUGCACAGCAUUCCAAAUGAGGCUUGGGAAUUGAAGUUCUGUGUUAUUAGUGAAAUUUCCAUCUUUACUACAUUCAAAUAUAGGACAUCAAGCAUAUAUAGAUCCUCCUUACCCUGCAGUUGUGAUACAGAUGGUUGGAAAACCACUUCUUGUGAGGAGCAUGUGGCUCAACUGCAGCCGGUAAUUUUUAUAUUCAAAUAAUAGAAUUUUACAGAAAAGGAAUCUAAAGGACUUUGGAGAAAGCUAUGAGCAAGUGAUACAGCUAUCUAUAUGGCAACAGUUGCCAGGUGAGAUGUCUUAAUCCAGCCAAAACAAGGCACAACAAAAUCCCCUUGAUUUCAGUAUUAAACCCAUGCUUCUCAUUGAUUCCAGUGUGGGAAAGUUAUUGACAUGCCAAUAUUACUUAAAUAGUACCGUUUAUAUAGAAGGUAAAAGAGCCCUGAGUGAUGCUUUAUAGAACAAGGGUGGAGUAUAAAAGUGCAUUAAAUAAAUAAACACGCACAAUUGCUGUUUGUAUACAUCCACAUAAUAUGAUUUCUAAUUUCUGGUAGAUAAACAUUUAAAAUAUAUAUAUGUCAUAAGUGCUAAUAACAACCAUGAUGUUCAUUCAGAAAGUCAGUGCUUUAUUUCAUUCAUUCUUUUAUUAACUAUGGAAACAGAUUCUCCUUAAUUCUUCUACUUUAGAGACUAAGGAAGGGGCUUGGCUCAGAACCGGCUACAGCAGUAAUGGCUUUAGGCCUGCUUGGUCCUUCUAGAGUGAUUCAGUUUCCAUAGAUGUUUCCACCUCGGUGAGUUAGUUUAAAUUAUCCCAGAAUGUGUGCUUAAGCUCUUCAGCGGCUCUUUUAAGUGUUCUGCGUCUUGUUGAUGACAGCAAGAGUCAUCACUUCUGAACCAGAGCCUUGAUGUUGCUUACUUUGCCUCAAGGAGAAGCCUUUGAACCUAGUUUGUAUCUCCCAAUACCUGCUCAUCAUCUGGAAGAGCUGAGUAAGGCUGUGGUAGUACAGUAAUGGCGACUAAGCAUCUGACAGACACCUUCAUGAAAGCAGGCUAUAAUCCUAUAGCAGGCAGUCUUCAAGAAAAGGGAGUUCCUGGUGAAGACUAGUAGGAUUGUAGAAAGGCUUACCGGUAAUUCUAAUAGCCUGUGGGUGGGACUCAUUAGACUGCUCUGUAAUAAAUUCUAAUUCAAGUGAUCUUGGGAACCCUGGCUUCUCACUAGCUGCUGUUCAUUUGCCUUUUUGCUAGGAGACAAGUCUAACUUGACUUCCACAACAGUGCGCAUUGCCAUGGUACGCUUCCAUACCGGCAAAUCUGCAUGCAGUGUAAGUUGGAAGGGACAGCCUCAACCAGUUUCUGCUACAACUUGCACAGAAAUUAUGAAAAUUGUCCCUGUUGAAUUUCUGCUCAACAUAUAGCAGCUAGACACAGCCUCAUACUGGGAUUGGGGGUGGGGGAGGAACACAUGGUGUAUUUUGUCAGGGAUAGAGAGGGUGGGGGCUUCCCCUAUGGGAUGCUCCUUUAGUUGUUUGGAACUAUGGGCUCUGCUGGCAGUUUGAUUUGGAGAUUUUAUUAGGUCCCCCUCCCACCUGAAGUACAUAUAAUUGUGAUAACUGCAUAUUCUUCCCUCAUCUGUCCCUGCCUCUGUUCUUGGCCUUUUUUUAGAUUGAAGGCUGCUUGGGAUAAGGGCAUGUCAGACCUGUACUUUAUAACAUGCCAUACACAUAGAUGGUGCUGUGUGAAAAACAACUGCAGUAUUGUAAGUGAUUGUGCGGAGGGUCCUUACUUGAAACUGAUGACCUUCUAAGCUUCCGUUCCCAGCAUUUCCUUGGUGAUCUUUUAAGGAAGAAGAUUCUACAACUUGCCUAAGCAGCUGGUUCCAUUGCUGAUCAGCCCUUUCCUCUUGGCAGUUUUCCUAUAAUUUUAAAUCUGGUCGUCCCCCCCCCUUUUUUUUUUUGUUUUAUAACCCCUUUUGUGUCUGCUAUUUUUGAGAGGGUCAACAGCAUCCCUUAAUCUUCUGUGAGCUGAACACACUCAGCUCCUUUAGCUUCUCCUUGUAUUCAUAAGUCUCAUAUUCUUUUGAACUGUGGUACUCUGUUUUAAAAACCUCUUUCUGACACUGCUGCACAGAAUAGUAUUAUGGGUUCUGCUAAUACAGGUUGGAUUGGCCUAGCUGUACAGCUUUGCACAGGCUUGUCGGACUGAACCCUCCCCCUCUCACACAGUGACGCAUUAAGAAUCUGCAAGUCUUGUCAUACCACAUUUCAAGAGACCCCCUUGGAGAGUAAUGAUGUAACUUUGUUAUGAAAUUAACUUAAAAUUAUGUUUGAGUCACACCGUUGCAGAGGGAAACCAAUGAACAGGGAGUGACUUGUUGAGCUUCAGUCAACAAUUUGGGCUUUUGGCUGCAAGAAGCUAAUGGUUAGCAUUGAAGAAGGCUGCCAUGUUUCCAGGCUUGUAAGUCUGCCACCCCCACCCCCAAAAAGCAGAUGUGGUCAUGAGUAAAGAAUAGGGCUAAACACUAGGCAGGAGAUCUGGAUCCAUCGUCUGCUUCUGCCAUAGUUUCUCACUGAGCAAAUCAUUUUUGAUCCCAGUUCCAAUUUUUUAAAAUGGAGUACAGCAGUGACCUACCUCACAGGGUUGUUGUGAGGGCGCAAAUAAAGAUUGUAACACACUUUGCUAAUUAAAAGUGCCACAGACGUGAUUGGUGAUGGUGUCUACUUGGGUAAUAGUCCAGUUAAUGGUUAGUAGUCCAGUUGCGUAACAUUAAUUUGUCUGUUCUACAGAUUUUUUAACUAUUGGCUGUGUUGCAUGUUAAACAGCUGCCCACAAAAUGAAAUAUAAUACUUGAUCAAAAAUAGAAAUCAAAGUAAUGUACAUUUGACAAAGAUAAGAGCAUGGGUAGCAUUCCCAUCACUCAAAAAGGUGUUAUUUACGCCUCAAAAACAUUUGACAGAAGCACAGAUAUCUCUGUGACUUGCAAAACUAAAACUAAAACUAAAAACAUAGCUAGCUGUGUGUAUGGUAUGGUUAUAUCCACAAAGACGGCUGUAUUUGCAUAGAAUACAUUGGUCUGCGAAGCAGCUAUGCCCUAUGGACCACUCAAGUUCUUUUGCAGCCUUCACAAAAAAAGAAAGAAACCCCACCAAAGCAGACCUUUCAGGGCCAUAAUUUUUCCCAAAUUACAAAAGAAUACUCCUUAACCUUGCCUACCUUGAUACCUGCCACUUGUAAUCCAUCUAAGCUUACUUGUGCCUAAAUCUUAGAAGGAGGAAUGGAAUGUGAUUUUGUUGUUGUGACUUAUGUUUCGAAGGGAAAGCCACAAUUUUUGUUGAAUUUAAUCAUUGUUUCAAACCAUUUGAGCUCUGCAAUUUACUUCAGUGCUAGUAUCUGCUGUCAAUAUAGGUAAACCAAAAUGUUCAAUACAGUGGAUGUUUUAUGUUGAGGCAUAUUUAUGUAUGUAAAUAAUAGUUCCAUGCACCACUGGUCUUCAGCUGGUGCAUCAGGGCCUGAUCCAAGGUGGGUCGCAACAGGAGCUGUGCCACCAUGCAAAUAUUAAGGUAAGAGAGUAAGAAAUGAAUCCCUAAAUGCAUGUUUGAGUUAAAAGUGGGCCCUGGGUCUGCAAAAGUUGAAUGUCUGCCAUACAGCAUGACCUGGUAGCAGAUUUCAGACCGCUUACUAUUUCCUUGGCAGAAGGACAAAACCUCAUUGUUUGUGACCCAUUUCUUCUCCUUUGUGGGAAUAUGUAGGACCCAGACAAAAAAGAGGGGGAUUGUCUACACAUCAUUACACCAGCAGGUGUCUGCAUUCAAAGGUUGCUAGUGGAUCUGGGACCAGCUACCAGCUGUCAGCGGAUAAGGCAGCCAAGGACUGGGCCUCUUACAGUGUGUAAACUUUUUAGAUUGGUGGGGGAGGGUAAGAAAAUAUGGCAGAAGCUUGUAAUGUUAUGCAUAAUGUUGGAUGAGCUUUACUGCCUUUCUGUCAACACCAGAAAUUGGGAUUCCCAAGUGAACUUUGCUGGGGAGUAGAUUGAAGAUUUUUUUAAAAAGGAGCACUUCAUCCAGUGCAUACUUAAAAGGUAUGGCAUUCACUGCUCCAAGGCAGUGAUGGUUGCUACAUUAGAUGGCUGGAGAAUAGGUUUGACAGUGGUGCCUUGGUCUUCACAAAACAUUAUGCCACUAAAUGCUGUUAGGUUAACAGCAGCAAAGGGCUGUCACUCUCCUGUCCUCAGUCUUGCUUAGAGGCAGGUGGUUUAAUAUGGUGUGAAGCAGAAUGUUCGAUGAGAUGGGUGAUUGGUCUGAUUCAAUUGGGCUAUUGCAUUGUUAAAGAGAUUGUGGUGCAGAUUUACCUGUGGGCUGAAGGAGGUGGUCAGGGUGCCCUGUGGCUGUAUAGCAGGAGGAGAGGUGCUGUGGGAUGCAGAGAGAAAAAGGCUAACAUAAAAGUUUAAAAGAAACCAGUAAAAAGGGAGAGAGGCAUAUUUUUCUGCAAUUAGCACACCACUUGAACCCUCAUCCCAAAGCCCUCUUGUAAAUAUGCAAAUCUCCACACAAAAUUUAGCAGUUUAAUUGUACCUUUAAAAAAAUUAUUGCAGAAAAAAACUGUCAUGAGCUACAACUCACUUCGUCAGAUAGUACCAAGUGUUAUCUUAAAUGGGUGGAGAUGUACCUCUGUGCAGAAACACACAACAGUCAGAGGGCUCAGUAAUACAAGAGAAAGUUGUGCUACAUUAUGCUGCAGAGCACAAAUAAUCAGGCAAAAGGAUGAAAGAUAUAAUCAGCUAGGGCGUGGCGCAUUCCCAACUGCUAAUAAAGUAUGGCAGCUUUCAUGUUACAGGAGUCUGUCUGGCCGUUGUGUAAGAGACUUUAUAAAGUUACCAUACUUUGGAACAAAAAAGAUUUCAAAGGGAGGCUCCAGAAUGAUGUUGCCGAGUUGGAAUUCAUUUUCAGAUCUGACACCCUAACUUACGUCUCAGUAUAGUUAGGGAGUGCCUCUCUCACAGCUGUCCCACUUUCGGUGUUCCUGUUCACCAUCUUGUUUUUGGCAGUUAAUAUUUGGGAAAGUUUGCACCUACUCUGCUAGGAUUGCAUUGCAUUAUAAUGCUUCCUCCUCUUUUACAUGUGAACCAAGGAAGCAGUUUUGUGCAUUCUACAAAGUGGGCUCUGGCCCAUGAAACUUUAUGACACAAUAACUAUUAAGUCUUUUAAAGUGCCACUAUCCUUUUUUGUUAAUGUAUGAUUUACGCAUUAUUGGUGUGAUGCAUUUCUAUGUACAAAGAAAUAUUGCACACCUUCCUGGUGCUACUAGUAGUUGAUGGGUGUUGUCUCAUUUCAAAACUGUUCCCGUGCAAUGCUUUGGGGGUUGGUAGGAUUGCCAUACGUCCAGAAUUUCCCAGACAUACCGGAAUACCGCAUUUUCCAGCAGCAAAUGGCCAAAUGUCCAGGAAAAUCCAAACAUAUGGCAGCCCAUGUUGGCAGUGCACAUUUUCCCUUAAAACUAAAAAAAGCUCAACAAUUUUUCAAUCUGGAUUUUCACUGUUUGAAAUAGUGGCAACCCUAUGGUUAGUCCUACUUGUAUCGUCUUGCGGCUGACAUGACUUUGUUCCUCUCAGGUGUGUACUCCUGUGCUGCCUAUUUACGUUGUUCUGAAGAAUAUAGAAGCAGAUUGUUCACACCCGUUUCUGUUACCUUCCACGAUUCCCAUUGAUGCUGCCCAGUUCAGCCUGGAUUUUUUUCUCAAUACUAAAAUGCUGCCUGUGGAGCUACUUGCAUGGGAACACCCACCUGACACAUAGGAUGAUCUGGGGUGGGGAAUCUUUGGUCCUCCAGAUGUUCUUGAACUACAAUGCCCAUCAACUCCAGCGAAAAUGGCCAAUGGGUGUUGAAGUUCUGUAACAUUCCGGGGGGGGGGGUAGGCUGAAGGCAUGUUUCUCUUCCCUGAAACAUAUCCCCAGGGCUGCAGAGGAGAUGACAGUAUUUUUCUGAUGGUUCUGGGUUGGGAACAGAAAGUAUUCCUUACUUGUUCUUCAGGAUGCAGAAAUCACCAGUUACUUAGAGGAACAGGACUAGCCAGUUUUGCCCCACCUUUCCUACUAGCAAUGGCUUUUAAUUUAGAUGCAUGGGAUAAUUGGGGGUAGAGAGGAGUUGGGAGUGGAGUAGACUUUCAUCCUUUCCCUUUAUUAUCAUCAGCUUUCUUUUGUAAGCACAUGGAAGAGCAGCAAGCAAAGCAUUAUUAUAUGAUCCCCAUUUACUGCCUCAGCUCAGUUUUGCUCUCUGUAGCAAAAGUGAGAAGAGGAUGGUGAUGGAAUAAACAGCUCAUACUGUUCUUCUGAAAGUACUGAGAGCAAAGGAAAUGGCAGUCAGAUUGUUCAGGGGCAGCAACAGUGUACUGAAAAUAGAUCCAGGACCUAAUAAUUUUGGUUACAAAUGUCUUCAAGAUGUAAGGGGAAGAG
Non-coding RNA from Podarcis lilfordi (Lilford's wall lizard), 7261 nucleotides. NCBI's taxonomy places the organism in Eukaryota, Metazoa, Chordata, Lepidosauria, Squamata, Lacertidae. The record is from the annotation of a GenBank genome assembly.